This 473-nucleotide ribosomal RNA is filed under the name uncultured bacterium. RNAcentral's name for it is "SSU rRNA". It matches the Rfam family "Bacterial small subunit ribosomal RNA", at positions 26 to 518 of the family's 1533-position model. The record is from RNAcentral.
AGAGCGAACGCUGGCGGCAGGCCUAACACAUGCAAGUCGAGCGCGUGUAGCAAUACACGAGCGGCAGACGGGAGAGUAACACGUGGGAACGCGCCCUUCGGUUCGGAAUAACUCAGGGAAACUUGAGCUAAUACCGGAUACGCCCUUACGGGGAAAGAUUUAUUGCCGAAGGAACGGCCCGCGUCCGAUUAGCUAGUUGGUGAGGUAACGGCUCACCAAGGCGACAAUCCGUAGCUGGUCUGAGAGGACGACCAGCCACACCGGAACUGAGACACGGUCCGGACUCCUACGGGAGGCAGCAGUGGGGAAUAUUGGACAAUGGGGAAACCCUGAUCCAGCGACGCCGCGUGUGUGAAGAAGGCCUGCGGGUUGUAAAGCACUUUUAGUGGGACAAAAAGACUACGGAUUAAUACUCUGUGGUCUUGAUUUAACCCAAAGAAAAAGCACCGGCUAACUCUAGUGCCAGCAGCCGC